GAUGAAGAACGUAGCGAAAUGCGAUAAGUAAUGUGAAUUGCAGAAUUCAGUGAAUCAUCGAAUCUUUGAACGCACAUUGCGCCCCUUGGUAUUCCGAGGGGCAUGCCUGUUCGAGCGUCAUUAUAACCCCUCAAGCUCAGCUUGGUGUUGGGGCCUGCUGCACUGGCAGCCCUUAAAAUCAGUGGCGGCGCCAUCUGGCUCUAAGCGUAGUAAUUCUUCUCGCUAUGGAGUCCUGGUGGAUGCUUGCCAUCAACCCCCAAUUUUUCUAUGGUUGACCUCGGAUCAGGUAGGGAUACCCGCUGAACUUAAGCAUAUCAAUAAGCGGAGGU
Molecule: unclassified non-coding RNA, 329 nt
Filed under: soil metagenome
Description: partial contains 5.8S ribosomal RNA, internal transcribed spacer 2, and large subunit ribosomal RNA
Rfam family: 5.8S ribosomal RNA (bases 1-120)
Source: RNAcentral